AACGAACGCUGGCGGCAUGCCUAACACAUGCAAGUCGAACGAUUGCCUUCGGGUGAUAGUGGCGCACGGGUGCGUAACGCGUGGGAAUCUGCCCUUAGGUUCGGAAUAACAGCUGGAAACGGCUGCUAAUACCGGAUGAUAUCGCGAGAUCAAAGAUUUAUCGCCUGAGGAUGAGCCCGCGUUGGAUUAGGUAGUUGGUGGGGUAAAGGCCUACCAAGCCGACGAUCCAUAGCUGGUCUGAGAGGAUGAUCAGCCACACUGGGACUGAGACACGGCCCAGAGCCUGGGGGAAGGAGGGGGGGGGAAAUAUGAAAAGAGGGCCGCGGGCAUGACAAAGCAGGGCGGGGGGAGAGAGGAGGGCCGAAGGUUAGAAAAGUCUUUUACGCGGGAAAAAAAGGGAGGGGACGGGGAGAAAAAGCCCGGGUAAACCCGGGG
This 435-nucleotide ribosomal RNA is filed under the name uncultured bacterium. RNAcentral's name for it is "partial 16S ribosomal RNA". It matches the Rfam family "Bacterial small subunit ribosomal RNA", at positions 29 to 507 of the family's 1533-position model. The record is from RNAcentral.